RNAcentral lists this ribosomal RNA (630 nucleotides) under uncultured euryarchaeote. RNAcentral's name for it is "bacterial SSU rRNA". It matches the Rfam family "Archaeal small subunit ribosomal RNA", at positions 54 to 700 of the family's 1478-position model. The record is from RNAcentral. Lineage: Archaea; Methanobacteriati; Methanobacteriota.
CGAGUCGAGAGCCUUUGGGGCUCGGCAUACUGCUCAGUAACACGUGGAUAACCUGCCCUAUUGUCUGGAAUAACCUCGGGAAACUGAGAACAAGGCCGGAUAGCCCACAAUGCCUGGAACGGUUUGUGGGUGAAGAUAGGAUGGGUCUGCGGCGUAUCAGGUCGUAGGGGGUGUAAUGGACCUCCUAGCCAUCGACGCGUACGGGUGUUGGGAGACAUAGCCCGGAGAUGGAUUCUGAGACACGAAUCCAGACCCUACGGGGUGCAGCAGGCGCGAAAACUUCACACUGCAUGAAACUGUGAUGAGGGAACUCCAAGUGCUAUCACUAUGUGGUAGCUUUUCUUAACUAUUAAUCGGUUUUGGAAUAAGGGCUGGGAAAGACCGGUGCCAGCCGCCGCGGUAAUACCGGCAGCUCAAGUGGUCGUCGCUUUUAUUGGGCCUAAAACGUCCGUAGCCUGUUUGGUAAAUCUGUGGGUAAAUCAACCAGCUUAACUGGUUGAAUUCUGCAGAGACUGCCAGACUAUGGACCGGGAGAGGUGUGGGGUACUCUAGGGGUAGGGGUAAAAUCCUGUCAUCCUUAGAGGACCACCAGUUGCCAAGGCGCCACACCUGGAACGGAUCCGACGGUCA